CAAAAAUUAAUAUAAGACACUGUCUUAUAUUCAAGGAAACAUGGUAUCAAGCGGGCUUGAGCCGCAAGGCUGCGUAUAAAUUAUCUGAAUAAGUCAAUAACUGUCAAAGUUUGCUUCUGUAUAGCUCUGUGCUGGGACCAAGUUUAUUGUCAUUACCACCGAUUCCAUUCUAAUAUUCUUGGCAGCGGGCUGAAACCGGAGCAUCGUGUUCCGACUGGUAGUAUCCAAUGCAGCUGGAACCAAUGAUUCCCUUCUGCCAGGGUGAAUUCAAGCAGCACCCUUAGCUCCUUGUUCAACGGGGUUUUACCUCCAUGAAAGGAAGAUUUGGUUGAAUGAAGUAACUGAAUCUAACUCAUUCUUUUUGGAGAUUGUUCUGUACGUUUCUCAUCUACAUAAACGUUCCAUGUCUAUUCUCUGUAUAUUUGUAUGGCGUUCUAUUUAGAGUUUUAAUGUGUACAGAAUAAAGUGAACUGGCAACCAA
This is a long non-coding RNA of Sphaerodactylus townsendi, 481 nucleotides long. RefSeq lists it as uncharacterized. Lineage: Eukaryota; Metazoa; Chordata; Lepidosauria; Squamata; Sphaerodactylidae. The record is from RefSeq and is a predicted model, not a curated record. The transcript has 2 exons.